UGAACUCAAUAAGAGCAAAUAUGAAAUUAUUCUUAACAAAUAACUGGUGGUGGUCUUCGCGAAACGUAAACGUCGUGAAAUAGCCCUGUUAUUGUGUUAAGUAAACAUACAAAAAGGCUUGUC
Aquimarina spongiae is the source of this 123-nucleotide regulatory RNA element. It matches the Rfam family "Bacteroidete tryptophan peptide leader RNA". The record is from Rfam. Lineage: Bacteria; Pseudomonadati; Bacteroidota; Flavobacteriia; Flavobacteriales; Flavobacteriaceae.